AACGAACGCUGGCGGCAUGCCUAACACAUGCAAGUCGAACGAGACCUUCGGGUCUAUUGGCGCACGGUUUCGUCACGCGUGGGAACCUGCCCUUAGGUUCGGAAUAACUCCCCGAAUGGGGUGCUAACACCGGAUAAUGUCUUCUGACCAAUGAUUUAUGGCCUUUGGAUGGUCCCGCGUUGGAUUAGCUAGUUGGUAGGGUAAGAGCCUACCAAGGCGACGAUCCAUAGCUGGUCUGAGAGGAUGGUCAGCCACACUGGGACUGAGACACGGCCCAGACUCCUACGGGAGGCGGCAGUGGGGAAUAUUGGACAAUGGGCGAAAGCCUGAUCCAGCAAUGCCGCGUGAGUGAUGAAGGCCUUAGGGUUGUAAAGCUCUUUUACCCGGGAUGAUAAUGACAGUACCGGGAGAAUAAGCUCCGGCUAACUCCGUG
Molecule: ribosomal RNA, 433 nt
Filed under: uncultured bacterium
Lineage: Bacteria
Description: partial 16S ribosomal RNA
Rfam family: Bacterial small subunit ribosomal RNA
Source: RNAcentral